Molecule: ribosomal RNA, 553 nt
Filed under: Aureobasidium sp.
Lineage: Eukaryota; Fungi; Ascomycota; Dothideomycetes; Dothideales; Saccotheciaceae
Description: eukaryotic LSU rRNA
Rfam family: 5.8S ribosomal RNA (bases 197-350)
Source: RNAcentral
UGCGGAAGGAUCAUUAAAGAGUAAGGGUGCUCAGCGCCCGACCUCCAACCCUUUGUUGUUAAAACUACCUUGUUGCUUUGGCGGGACCGCUCGGUCUCGAGCCGCUGGGGAUUCGUCCCAGGCGAGCGCCCGCCAGAGUUAAACCAAACUCUUGUUAUUAAACCGGUCGUCUGAGUUAAAAUUUUGAAUAAAUCAAAACUUUCAACAACGGAUCUCUUGGUUCUCGCAUCGAUGAAGAACGCAGCGAAAUGCGAUAAGUAAUGUGAAUUGCAGAAUUCAGUGAAUCAUCGAAUCUUUGAACGCACAUUGCGCCCCUUGGUAUUCCGAGGGGCAUGCCUGUUCGAGCGUCAUUACACCACUCAAGCUAUGCUUGGUAUUGGGUGCCGUCCUUAGUUGGGCGCGCCUUAAAGACCUCGGCGAGGCCUCACCGGCUUUAGGCGUAGUAGAAUUUAUUCGAACGUCUGUCAAAGGAGAGGACUUCUGCCGACUGAAACCUUUUAUUUUUCUAGGUUGACCUCGGAUCAGGUAGGGAUACCCGCUGAACUUAAGCAUA